AAGUAAUGUGACAUGCCCGUUUGGUGAUAUACUCUGAUUUAUUAUCCGUUAUAUAAUUGCUUUGGGAUAACGGGGUGUUACACACC
This 86-nucleotide microRNA precursor is filed under the name Medicago truncatula (barrel medic). RNAcentral describes it as "MIR2617 microRNA precursor family". It matches the Rfam family "MIR2617 microRNA precursor family". The record is from Rfam by way of RNAcentral. Lineage: Eukaryota; Viridiplantae; Streptophyta; Magnoliopsida; Fabales; Fabaceae.